Molecule: long non-coding RNA, 659 nt
Organism: Nelumbo nucifera (sacred lotus)
Lineage: Eukaryota; Viridiplantae; Streptophyta; Magnoliopsida; Proteales; Nelumbonaceae
Source: RefSeq, a predicted model, not a curated record
ACAUUUUCAUUCGUUCAACCUUCUACCACUGCAAACCCAAGGAGCCAGAAGUUGAGGAUGUGCCAAGGACUAAACAACUACCAGAAACUCAUCAUCCAGCAAGAAUCACGCACACAGGGUUCAAUCAACACACAAGUCAGUCGUUCCUCCUCCCCUUUUCGGCAGUUCCUCUUCAAAGAAUAUGGUGUGGACUCAGGCCACUCAGCCUUUAGAGAUGAAAUGGUUAUUUGAUCCAUCUACUUUUAGGUGCCCUAAAAGAAUGGGUAGAACUCUCUGGAGAUGCACAAGAGCCCCAAUGAUUUGGACUAUUUAGGAAGAAUGGAACCAAAGAAUCUUUUCAGAUAAGGAAAGAAGUAAGGAAGCAGUAACGAAAUACACUAUGAACAGGGUGAUACAUUGGGUGAGAACACUGGACAGCUUCUCGCAAUUCUCCUAUGAUGAUAUUUGGAGUGAACAUACCAAACAAAGUACUCAAAUAUGGAGCCUGACAAUUUAAUAUGAUGCAAUUGCUGAAUGCAUUUCAUUACUGUACCACUCAAAUAAUUGAGUAGUUGCAGGCAUGCUAAAAGCCAUUUUGCAGGCAUUUCAUUACUGUACCACUCAAAUGAUUGAGUAGUUGCAGGCAUGCAAAAAGCCAUUUUGGACAUGAAGCAGUUCAA